RNAcentral lists this long non-coding RNA (220 nucleotides) under Capsicum annuum. Its description in RNAcentral is "long non-coding RNA (CANN_LNC009054)". Lineage: Eukaryota; Viridiplantae; Streptophyta; Magnoliopsida; Solanales; Solanaceae. The record is from RNAcentral.
AAGCACAGAUUUAUCUACUUUAACUAUGUUCUUUUAGAUGUUCCAAUUGGCAAGCCUAGCCAGGCGAGCACAGUGUUAAUAGUGUCUCAAUUAUUUGUCUCCAAUCUUUAAAUAAUUUUGAACAACUGUUAGCUCACGAGUUAAUUAUUGAAAUUAAGUUAGAGAAAAAUUCAUUCUUUAUCGUUUUUGGAUAUCAUGUACGGACUUUUGAAAUGUAAAC